This 528-nucleotide ribosomal RNA is filed under the name uncultured bacterium. RNAcentral describes it as "partial 16S ribosomal RNA". It matches the Rfam family "Bacterial small subunit ribosomal RNA", at positions 356 to 900 of the family's 1533-position model. The record is from RNAcentral.
UGGGAAUAUUGGACAAUGGGCGCAAGCCUGAUCCAGCCAUGCCGCGUGAGUGAUGAAGGCCUUAGGGUUGUAAAGCUCUUUCGACGGGGACGAUAAUGACGGUACCCGUAGAAGAAGCCCCGGCUAACUUCGUGCCAGCAGCCGCGGUAAUACGAAGGGGGCUAGCGUUGCUCGGAAUCACUGGGCGUAAAGGGCGCGUAGGCGGACGUUUAAAGUCAGAGGUGAAAGCCCAGGGCUCAACCCUGGAAUGGCCUUUGAUACUGGACGUCUUGAGUCUGGUAGAGGUUGGUGGAACUGCGAGUGUAGAGGUGAAAUUCGUAGAUAUUCGCAAGAACACCGGUGGCGAAGGCGGCCAACUGGACCAGAACUGACGCUGAGGCGCGAAAGCGUGGGGAGCAAAACAGGAUUAGAUACCCUGGUAGUCCACGCCGUAAACGAUGGAUGCUAGCCGUUGGCCGGUUUACCGGUCAGUGGCGCAGCUAACGCGUUAAGCAUCCCGCCUGGGGAGUACGGCCGCAAGGUUAAAAC